GUCCUGUAGCGCAAUAGAUAGCGCGUUGAAUUUCUAAUUCAACGGUCGUGGGUUCGAACCCACUUGGGAUG
This is a non-coding RNA of Trichonephila clavata, 71 nucleotides long. The record is from the annotation of a GenBank genome assembly. Lineage: Eukaryota; Metazoa; Arthropoda; Arachnida; Araneae; Nephilidae.